This 1086-nucleotide ribosomal RNA is filed under the name Triticum aestivum (bread wheat). RNAcentral describes it as "partial small subunit ribosomal RNA". Lineage: Eukaryota; Viridiplantae; Streptophyta; Magnoliopsida; Poales; Poaceae. The record is from RNAcentral.
AUGGCAAGUGCAUGGGACGCGACCUUCUCCCCAAGAUCGAUCGAUCGAUAUACAGUUCCCUCCUCGGCUCGAUCAGCUCGUUCUCCGUCCAUCUUCUUCUCCCCUCCGUUCUCGAUGGCCGUCGUUUGUGCCCAAGCCGUCGACUCUUGGCCCAUCUGGAACCUCCAAGGCUACGGGGUCGAGGACUGCGAGGAGACGCCCAUCUGGGAACUCGACGACUGCGAGGAGACGGCCGAGCUCGGCUCCGGGAGCUUCGGCACAGUCACCAAGGCGUGGUCCUACAAGACCGGCGAGAGCGUCGCCAUCAAGACCCUCGGCUCGAGCAGCCAUGACGCGGUCCGGCGGGAGGCCGACCUCCUCAGGGCGUGCCAUGGCCACCUCAACAUCGUCCAGCUGCGGGACAUGUCCUUCGACCGCAACGCCGACAGGCUCUCCCUCGUCAUGGAGUACGUCGGGCCGAGCCUCCACGACGUCCUCCACCGCGCCCGCCGCGGCUGCCCGUUCCAGGAGGACGUCGUGCGCUUCCUCAUGCGGCAGCUUCUGAGCGGCGCCGACCACAUGCACCGGCUGUGCCACGUCGUCCACCGGGACAUCAAGCCCGAGAACGUCCUCGUCGGCGACGGCGUCAAGAUAUGCGACUUCGGGCUCGCCAUGUCCAUGUCCCAGGCCCCGCCGUACGGCCACCGUGGCACCCGCAGCUACAUGGCGCCGGAGAUCCUCCUGGGGAAGCCCGACUACGACGCCACCGUGGACGCCUGGUCGCUGGGCUGCGUCAUGGCCGAGCUCCUCCUAGGCGAGCGGCUCUUUGGCCGCGCGGCGGACGACGCCGACCAGCUCCUCAGGAUCUUCUACGUACUAGGCGUGCCGGACCAGAUCUCCUGGCCGUCCUACAACUCCAUGCCGCUGGCCGGCGAGCUGGUGGCGCCGCCGAGCAUCCCCCACCGCAACAGGCUGCGCGAGGUGUUUCCAGAGGACUGCCUGUCCAGACAAGGUUUCCAAGUAUUGAGCGGCCUCCUCUCCUGCGACGCAGGCAAGAGGCUGUCGGCGGCUGACGCCCUCGAGCUUCCAUGGUUCACCACCAACUAG